AGCACAUCACCUGCCAACAGAUCAGCAAAUUAGAUGUAUUAUUUGAUAACAAAUGUUCAUCAGCAGUUUAAAUCUAUUUAAAUAGGUUCAAUGUAAUGUCUGUAUAGUCUGCUUCUAUAAAAUUAAUUUUUCUUUCCAACUUUGUGAAUUUGUGAAGGAUUUCUGAAAGGGGUGAGUUGUUGGACCCCUAUGUGAAGCCAUGAGGAAUGUAGUAUGAGCAAAAGUAAAUUCUAUAUUCGAAAUCCAAGUCAUUAGGCAAGAGUGAAGUCAAAAGUAGGAGAACCAGGUCGGGUAGUAAAAGGAGUCAGGUCGAGAAUAGAAGCGCGCACAAGAGAAAGCUGUGGAAGACUUCUCAAUAUUGAGCGUAGGAAUAGAGGUGCAGAGCUUUGGAGCAUAACAGGAGAAGGCUUGGGGGACAGACAGGAGACCAGAAUUAGAAGAGCAAAGGUUGCAAGGGUCACAGGGGAGCUGGUGCCUAUUCCAGCAGGCAACAGGCACAAGGCAGGAUACACCAGUCCCAGGACUGGUCAUAGACAGAUGCAAACACACACCAGGAUUGAUGUUCCCAGGAGCCAACUAAACUACCACCUACGCAUGCCGAUGCAGCUAACUACUUGAACUACACAUUUGGAUAGAUAGCUAAAAGCAUAGAAUUUAAAUCAUGCAAAGCUAAAAUUACACAUUGAAAUAAAAUGGCAUGAUGCACUCCUGUGAGCUCAGACAAUUUUUGUUACCCUGAUAUAAUCACUACUGCUCUGGAAUGUCCUUCACUGACAGCUGAAAGAACCUGUUUAAUCUUGACAAAGAAGACUAAGAGGGGACUUGAUUCAUGUAUUCAUGAAUAAUUUAAAUUAAAUCAGUUGAAAUC
This is a long non-coding RNA of Lepisosteus oculatus (spotted gar), 868 nucleotides long. RefSeq lists it as uncharacterized. Lineage: Eukaryota; Metazoa; Chordata; Actinopteri; Semionotiformes; Lepisosteidae. The record is from RefSeq and is a predicted model, not a curated record.